Molecule: non-coding RNA, 138 nt
Organism: Ornithorhynchus anatinus (platypus)
Lineage: Eukaryota; Metazoa; Chordata; Mammalia; Monotremata; Ornithorhynchidae
Source: Rfam
CCCCUCUCAGGGUCGCACCUGGAGAGUUUCCAGUACUCUACCGGUCUCGACUACAGGAGGGAGAGUCAAGCAGAGGCAUACCCAUUCUAUUUCUAGUUUGGGCAGUGGCUAGCGAGUAGAAGAUGAUCUUCUAAAAGU